RNAcentral lists this ribosomal RNA (300 nucleotides) under uncultured Gammaproteobacteria bacterium. Its description in RNAcentral is "bacterial SSU rRNA". It matches the Rfam family "Bacterial small subunit ribosomal RNA", at positions 115 to 416 of the family's 1533-position model. Lineage: Bacteria; Pseudomonadati; Pseudomonadota; Gammaproteobacteria. The record is from RNAcentral.
GCGUGGGAAUCUGCCCAGAAGUUGGGGAUAGCCCGGGGAAACCCGGAUUAAUACCGAAUAUGUUCUACGGAACAAAGGAUGCCUCUACUUGUAAGCAUUCGCUUUUGGAUGAGCCCGCGUUGGAUUAGCUAGUUGGUAGGGUAAGAGCCUACCAAGGCGACGAUCCAUAGCUGGUCUGAGAGGAUGAUCAGCCACACUGGGACUGAGACACGGCCCAGACUCCUACGGGAGGCAGCAGUGGGGAAUAUUGCACAAUGGGCGAAAGCCUGAUGCAGCCAUGCCGCGUGUGUGAAGAAGGCC